GUGCCAGCAGCCGCGGUAAUACGGAGGGUCCGAGCGUUAAUCGGAAUUACUGGGCGUAAAGCCGUGCGCAGGCGGUUUGUUAAGCGAGAUGUGAAAGCCCUGGGCUCAACCUAGGAAUAGCAUUUCGAACUGGCGAACUAGAGUCUUGUAGAGGGGGGUAGAAUUCCAGGUGUAGCGGUGAAAUGCGUAGAGAUCUGGAGGAAUACCGGUGGCGAAGGCGGCCCCCUGGACAAAGACUGACGCUCAGGUGCGAAAGCGUGGGGAGCAAACAGGAUUAGAUACCCUGGUAGUCC
This 293-nucleotide ribosomal RNA is filed under the name uncultured microorganism. RNAcentral's name for it is "partial 16S ribosomal RNA". It matches the Rfam family "Bacterial small subunit ribosomal RNA", at positions 505 to 796 of the family's 1533-position model. The record is from RNAcentral.